GUAACAAGGUCUCCGUUGGUGAACCAGCGGAGGGAUCAUUAUAGAGUUUACAAACUCCAAACCCCUGUGAACAUACCUAUCGUUGCCUCGGCAGGUCGUGGCCUACCUGGUAAAACCUCCCCUGACCGGGCGGUGCUACCCGGGAGUCCGCGGUGAAGCCUGCCGGCGGCCCACGAAACUCUGUUAUUAUUGAAUCUCUGAAUCUUAACUAAAUAAGUUAAAACUUUCAACAACGGAUCUCUUGGUUCUGGCAUCGAUGAAGAACGCAGCGAAAUGCGAUAAGUAAUGUGAAUUGCAGAAUUCAGUGAAUCAUCGAAUCUUUGAACGCACAUUGCGCCCAUUAGUAUUCUAGUGGGCAUGCCUGUUCGAGCGUCAUUUCAACCCUUAAGCCCCUGUUGCUUAGUGUUGGGAGCCUACGUUUUGGCGUAGCUCCUCAAAGUUAGUGGCAGAGUCAGUUCAUACUCUAGGCGUAGUAAUUUUUAUCUCGCUUUUGUAGUUGGGCUGGCCCUCGCCGUAAAACCCCCUAAUUUUUAAAAGGUUGACCUCGGAUCAGGUAGGAAUACCCGCUGAACUUAAGC
Molecule: ribosomal RNA, 578 nt
Filed under: Sarcoxylon compunctum
Lineage: Eukaryota; Fungi; Ascomycota; Sordariomycetes; Xylariales; Xylariaceae
Description: eukaryotic LSU rRNA
Rfam family: 5.8S ribosomal RNA (bases 222-375)
Source: RNAcentral